UACGUAGGGUGCGAGCGUUGUCCGGAAUUAUUGGGCGUAAAGGGCUCGUAGGCGGUUUGUCACGUCAGGAGUGAAAACUCGGGGCUCAACCCCGAGCCUGCUUCUGAUACGGGCAGACUAGAGGUAUGCAGGGGAGAACGGAAUUCCUGGUGUAGCGGUGAAAUGCGCAGAUAUCAGGAGGAACACCAAUGGCGAAGGCAGCACUCUGGGACGUGACUGACGCUGAGACGCGAAAGCGUGGGGAGCAAACAGG
RNAcentral lists this ribosomal RNA (253 nucleotides) under uncultured bacterium. Its description in RNAcentral is "partial 16S ribosomal RNA". It matches the Rfam family "Bacterial small subunit ribosomal RNA", at positions 524 to 776 of the family's 1533-position model. The record is from RNAcentral.